Molecule: ribosomal RNA, 1626 nt
Filed under: Ruminococcus sp. A254.MGS-254
Lineage: Bacteria; Bacillati; Bacillota; Clostridia; Eubacteriales; Oscillospiraceae
Description: bacterial LSU rRNA
Rfam family: Bacterial large subunit ribosomal RNA
Source: RNAcentral
GAGUGAGAAUGUUGGCAUGAGUAGCGAGAUGUGGGUGAGAAUCCCACAGGCCGUAAACCCAAGGUUUCCAGGGGAAGGUUCGUCCGCCCUGGGUUAGUCAGGACCUAAGCCGAGGCCGAAAGGCGUAGGCGAUGGACAACAGGUUGAUAUUCCUGUACCACCAAUAACCGUUUGAGAAAUGGGAUGACACAGAAGGAUAAGCUAACCGCACUGUUGGUUAUGUGCGGGCAAGUAUUGAGGCAGUUCUAAUAGGCAAAUCCGUUAGAAUAAUGCUAGGGUACGAUGCGGAGCGAAAUUUAGUAGCGAAGUAGCUGAUUUCACACUGUCGAGAAAAGUCUCUAUCGAGGUUAAAGGUGCCUGUACCGCAAACCGACACAGGUGGGUGAGGAGAGUAUCCUAAGGCCAGCCAGAGAACUGUUGUUAAGGAACUCGGCAAAAUGACCCCGUAACUUAGGGAGAAGGGGUGCCUUCGAAAGAAGGCCGCAGAGAAUAGGCCCAAGCGACUGUUUACCAAAAACAUAGGUUUCUGCUAAGUCGCAAGACGAUGUAUAGGAGCUGACGCCUGCCCGGUGCUGGAAGGUUAAGGGGAUCUGUUAGAGCAAUCGAAGCAGUGAACUUAAGCCCCAGUAAACGGCGGCCGUAACUAUAACGGUCCUAAGGUAGCGAAAUUCCUUGUCGGGUAAGUUCCGACCCGCACGAAAGGCGUAACGAUUUGGGCACUGUCUCAACAACAGACUGGGUGAAAUUGUAGUACCGGUGAAGAUGCCGGUUACCUGCGACAGGACGGAAAGACCCCAUGGAGCUUUACUGUAGCUUGACAUUGAGUCUCGGUGCUACAUGUACAGGAUAGGUGGGAGGCUAUGAAGCAUGGACGUCAGUUUGUGUGGAGCCAUCCUUGGGAUACCACCCUUGUAGUACUGGGAUUCUAACCAGCUGCCUUGAAUCAGGUAGUGGGACACUGUCAGGUGGACAGUUUGACUGGGGCGGUCGCCUCCUAAAGAGUAACGGAGGCGCUCAAAGGUUCGUUCAGUACGGUCGGAAAUCGUACGUAGAGUGUAAAGGCAGAAGAGAGCUUGAUUGCAAGACAUACAGGUCGAGCAAGGACGAAAGUCGGACUUAGUGAUCCGGUGGUACCGCAUGGAAGGGCCAUCGCUCAACGGAUAAAAGCUACCCUGGGGAUAACAGGCUGAUCUCCCCCAAGAGUCCACAUCGACGGGGAGGUUUGGCACCUCGAUGUCGGCUCAUCACAUCCUGGGGCUGUAGUAGGUCCCAAGGGUUGGGCUGUUCGCCCAUUAAAGUGGUACGCGAGCUGGGUUCAGAACGUCGUGAGACAGUUCGGUCCCUAUCCGUCGCAGGCGUAGGAAAUUUGAGGAGACCUGUCCUUAGUACGAGAGGACCGGGAUGGACGUACCGCUGGUGUACCAGUUGUUCUGCCAAGGGCAUAGCUGGGUAGCUAAGUACGGAAAGGAUAAGCGCUGAAAGCAUCUAAGCGCGAAGCCUACUUCGAGAUAAGAUUUCCCACCGCAAGGUUAAGACCCCAUGAAGACUACAUGGUUGAUAGGUCAGAGGUGGAAGUGUGGUAACAUAUGUAGCUUACUGAUACUAAUAGGUCGAGGACUUGACCAA